This 235-nucleotide ribosomal RNA is filed under the name uncultured bacterium. RNAcentral's name for it is "partial 16S ribosomal RNA". It matches the Rfam family "Bacterial small subunit ribosomal RNA", at positions 98 to 334 of the family's 1533-position model. The record is from RNAcentral.
CCGCACGGGUGAGUAACACGUAUCCAACCUGCCGUCUACUCUUGGACAGCCUUCUGAAAGGAAGAUUAAUACAAGAUGGCAUCAUGAGUCCGCAUGUUCACAUGAUUAAAGGUAUUCCGGUAGACGAUGGGGAUGCGUUCCAUUAGAUAGUAGGCGGGGUAACGGCCCACCUAGUCUUCGAUGGAUAGGGGUUCUGAGAGGAGGUCCCCCACAUUGGAACUGAGACACGGUCCAA